Molecule: long non-coding RNA, 526 nt
Filed under: Gossypium barbadense (sea-island cotton)
Lineage: Eukaryota; Viridiplantae; Streptophyta; Magnoliopsida; Malvales; Malvaceae
Description: long non-coding RNA (GBAR_LNC013106)
Source: RNAcentral
CGGUGCCGGUGAAGUUGUUGGAAUUGGCAUGGAAAAUGGCUAAAUCUGUUAAUCCGUCGAUGAAAUCGUGGAGUGGAAGGGAACCAUUGAUGCCGGAGAGCUUAGCGCCGUUGAAAUCGACGGCGGCGACUGCUUUUUUUUCACGUCCGGUCGCACAUCACAAUUGAAGCCUUUGUAUUUGCAAACGUUGGGACCGUUCCAUGUUUUUGUGUAUCUUUUGCCAUUUUCGUCUGGUUUGAUUAGCUUCUUGAACUUUAGGAUUACUCCAUAAGAUGUUGCGAGCAGUUCGUUUUCGAAGCAGAGGUUGCUGCUCCGGUAACCACAUUUCGACGGUGGUCUUGGCGGUGGUUUUGGUGUUGGUUUUGGUUUUGGUUUUGGUUUUGGUUUUGGUAUUGGUGAUGGUAGUGGUGGUGGUGGUGGUGGUGGUGGUGGUGGAGAUGCUGGAGGUGGACAUUCAGGUUCAGGUGGCGGAGGAGGACAAUCUUCAGGCGACGGAGCAGGAGCUUCACCGCCGCCGCCGCCGCCG